RNAcentral lists this ribosomal RNA (554 nucleotides) under uncultured bacterium. RNAcentral's name for it is "partial 16S ribosomal RNA". It matches the Rfam family "Bacterial small subunit ribosomal RNA", at positions 355 to 899 of the family's 1533-position model. The record is from RNAcentral.
UGGGGAAUAUUGGACAAUGGGCGCGAGCCUGAUCCAGCCAUGCCGCGUGUGUGAAGAAGGCCUUAUGGUUGUAAAGCACUUUUAAAGCGAGGAGGAGGCUACUUUAGUUAAUACCUAGAGAUAGUGGACGUUACUCGCAGAAUAAGCACCGGCUAACUCUAUGCCAGCAGCCGCGGUAAUACAGAGGGUGCAAGUGUUAAUCGGAUUUACUGGGCGUAAAGCGCGCGUAGGCGGCUAAUUAAGUCAAAUGUGAAAUCCCCGAGCUUAACUUGGGAAUUGCAUUCGAUACUGGUUAGCUAGAGUGUGGGAGAGGAUGGUAGAAUUCCAGGUGUAGCGGUGAAAUGCGUAGAGAUCUGGAGGAAUACCGAUGGCGAAGGCAGCCAUCUGGCCUAACACUGACGCUGAGGUGCGAAAGCAUGGGGAGCAAACAGGAUUAGAUACCCUGGUAGUCCAUGCCGUAAACGAUGUCUACUAGCCGUUGGGGCCUUUGAGGCUUUAGUGGCGCAGCUAACGCGAUAAGUGACCGCCUGGGGAGUACGGUCGCAAGACUAAAA